CACUCUGGUUGGAUGUCCACCGAUGACUUAAAAGCGGCCGCCUCGCGACGUGGAUGGUUUUGGUUGGAACGGUUGAGGUUGUAGAGCCGGUCACGACGGGCGCGUUCCUUUUCCGCCUCGCGUUUACGAGCUUCCACCUCUUCAUCGCGUCGCUGUGGAAGCUGCGGGCGGUGUUGGUUGAACCGCCACUUAGGCCCAAAUUUGGGGCGCGGAGGAGGUUUUCCGUCUACAAGGCGGAAAGUUGAGUCAUCGUCACCGGCAGCAGCUGCUGCGGGAAAGGAAUCAUCUGCGGUAAAGUCAAAAACCGAAUCCAAUGCAGUUUUGUUGGCGUUUGGGCGAGUCGCAUUGGGGUUGUUGACGUUGCGGGUCCAGUCGGCAAUUCGGCCUAGUUUUUCUGAUCGGGAGAAGGGGGCGAAGGGAACAUGGAGAGGGAGGGUGAGGGGCAGUAGUGGUAGUGGUGGCUGUUGUGGCGUCUGGAGGGCCCCAACCGUCAGGGGUGAAAGGAA
This 506-nucleotide unclassified non-coding RNA is filed under the name Hevea brasiliensis (rubber tree). The record is from RNAcentral. Lineage: Eukaryota; Viridiplantae; Streptophyta; Magnoliopsida; Malpighiales; Euphorbiaceae.